GUAGGUGAACCUGCGGAAGGAUCAUUACCGAGAUAGGGUCCCCUGGGCCCAAACCUCCCACCCAAUGUGUACCUACCUUUGUUGCUUUGGCGGGCCGUGGGGCCUCGGCCCCCCGUCGACCUCGGUGGACGUGCGCCCGUCAGAGACCCCCCAAACUCAGUUCAUCAGUGACGUCCGAGCGAAACACAAAUCGAAGCAAAACUUUCAACAACGGAUCUCUUGGUUCUG
This 228-nucleotide unclassified non-coding RNA is filed under the name rhizosphere metagenome. Its description in RNAcentral is "partial ribosomal RNA internal transcribed spacer region". The record is from RNAcentral.